Long non-coding RNA from Pogoniulus pusillus (Red-fronted tinkerbird), 1228 nucleotides. RefSeq lists it as uncharacterized. NCBI's taxonomy places the organism in Eukaryota, Metazoa, Chordata, Aves, Piciformes, Lybiidae. The transcript is spliced from 2 exons. The record is from RefSeq and is a predicted model, not a curated record.
UGUCACCCAGGUAGCCCCUGAACACACUGAGGUAAUGCACUACAUGGGAUGCCACCACCUCAAACACCCUUGAAGAUGCUCCUUGCUAUGGAAGCCAAACAGACAGACAGAAGUGUGUCUUCUUCAGGAUCUUCACCACCACCUUGCUAUUCUAUUAAUCUUCAGGAGAAACUGCUGUUACAACAGUCCCCAGCCAGAAGGAAUGCACACCAUAGCGCUUUGGAGGAAGUCCUGCAACCCCAAGAGCACGGCGAAAGACAGCCAGGAAGUGCCUCCUUGUCACAGCCCUACCAUCCAAGUGCACGAAGAGAGGGCCUUCUCCUGCUGGCCGUGCUGCCACGUAGGUAUAGAGAGCUUCAACAGGACAUAUCCACAUCUCUCUAGAGAAUCCCAGUUGGAUCAAAUGCCUCUCCUGGCCCCUGCACACACAAAGGUUUGCUCUCCCUUCAGCCAGGUGGAGGUCACUCAAGUACAGGAGCUCUGGCUGUGCUCUAUUUUGGUCAUUUGCCACCAUCUCUUCUAUAUGGAGUGCACCAAAAAAAGCUACAGUGAACAUGGCACGGAACAACAUACACUCGUAGGGAGAGCUACACACAGAUUCCAGAGUCCCCAGUAGAGAUCUUAACACUUCAAUGGUCACAGGAGCAUAUCCAUCAUUUGCGGGGGCAGUCCUACAUUUCAGCCUCGAAAUCAUGUGACAGAUAACAGGAUCUUGAAGAGGAUCAGGAUGAUUUACCAUUCCUGAGAUGAAGGAGAGUCCUUCCACAUACGUUAUUAUUUUCGUGGGAGGCAGAUCCUGGGACUCCAUGAGGGCCAAGAACUCUCUCACUUGAGCCACUGGGAUCGGCCAGACUGCAGGCAAAGCCAUGCCUUCUCUAAAGGCAAGGAAAUUCUUCAGGCCCUCGUAGUAGGUCUGCCAUAAGUGGUUAUCUCCAGAGUCCUCCAGCAACAGCAGAGCCUUCAGGGGCUGCGGGCCCAAGGGAUGCCUCUCAGGAAUCUGGCUGAGUUCAUCUGUUGAAAUAAAUUUGUAUUAGAAAUAGCAAACAAGGUGGUCUCACAGACAGUAUAGCAGACAAAUCUCUUCCCUUUCAACAUACUUCAGCUUUUGCUUGAACUUCUAGGAAAAAAAGCCUUUCCCAUGCAUUCUUAUGAUGCUCUUCUGCACUACUUUCAACAGACAGAGCGCAGGAGAAGGAUUACAUUCCCCAAACGAUAAACCCCUCGUGAU